Molecule: long non-coding RNA, 640 nt
Organism: Girardinichthys multiradiatus
Lineage: Eukaryota; Metazoa; Chordata; Actinopteri; Cyprinodontiformes; Goodeidae
Exons: 3
Source: RefSeq, a predicted model, not a curated record
AAUGAAUCUAAAAUAUAUGAAUGUUAAAUUUUCAUCAUUACGUUAUGGAAAAUAAUGAACUUUAUCACAAUAUGCUAAUAUUUUGAGAAGGACCUGUAUAUGAAGACAGCUAAGGAGCUUGGUGAGCGUGCAAUUUGCAAAUCAAGUUUGAAGGCGCUUUGGACCCAGCUACUCCCACACAUAAGAAGCUGUAGGCCCCGCACCGACCUCUGCUGGCAGUGCCAACAGAAUAUUGAUCAGCUUAUAAGAAGUGCAAACCUUCCAGAGGAGAGGAACACUGCAGCAAUCAAGAAGCAACAGGAUCAUAUUCAGCUUGUUCAAAAAGAGAGGGCCUACAACGAGACAAAACAAAACAUUUUAUGUUGUGGUAUGGCGCCUGGCGGGUCGCACACAAGCUUCACUCCACACUAAACAUCCACUUCCUGAUUACUGGCCACACCAAAUUUUCCCUGGACUGUGGCUUUGGGGUUAUCAAACAAGCAUACAAGAGGACCAGGGUCAGCACAUUGCCAGAUAUCGCCAAAGUAGUGGAAAACAGCUCUCCUGAAAGUCGCCUCAACAUCCCACAGCUGGUCGGACUGGAAGAUGGCAAUUUGUAAUGUGUAUAGAGUUGUAAAUAAAAAUCACAUUUGUGACAUGA